CCUCGUGAAUGAUUACUGGGGGUAGAGCACUGUUUCGGCUAGGGGGCUGUCAUGGCUUACCAAACCGAUGCAAACUCCGAAUACCGGCUAAUUGAAUCACGGGAGACACACGGCGGGUGCUAACGUCCGUCGUGGAGAGGGAAACAACCCAGACCGCCAGCUAAGGUCCCCAAGUACUAGUUAAGUGGGAAACGAUGUGGGAAGGCAUAGACAGCCAGGAGGUUGGCUUAGAAGCAGCCACCCUUUAAAGAAAGCGUAAUAGCUCACUGGUCGAGUCGGCCUGCGCGGAAGAUGUAACGGGGCUAAAACUAGUCACCGAAGCUGCGGAUGUGCGCGAAGGCGCACGUGGUAGGGGAGCGUUCUGUAGGCUGAUGAAGGUGCAUUGAGAAGUGUGCUGGAGGUAUCAGAAGUGCGAAUGCUGACAUGAGUAACGAUAAUGUGGGUGAAAAGCCCACACGCCGGAAGUCCCAGGUUUCCUGCACGACGUUAAUCGGAGCAGGGUGAGUCGGCCCCUAAGGCGAGGCUGAAGAGCGUAGUCGAUGGGAACCAGGUUAAUAUUCCUGGACUUUUUAUAAGUGGUGAAGUGGGGACGAAGAAGGCUAGGUGAGCCAGGCGUUGGUUGUCCUGGUACUUGCAUGUAGGGGGGAAGACUUGGCAAAUCCGGUUUUCCAUAACUCUGAGGUGCGAAGUGGUUCUGACCUUUUGGUACAGAGAAGUCAUUGAUGCCCGGCUUCCAGGAAAAGCUGCUAGCCAUAACUUAUAGAGAACCGUACCGCAAACCGACACAGGUGGACAGGUAGAGAAUACUAAGGCGCUUGAGAGAACUCGGGUGAAGGAACUAGGCAAAAUGGUACCGUAACUUCGGGAGAAGGUACGCCCUUUCUGGUGAUGGGAUUUACUUUCAGAGCUGGAGAGGGCCGCAGAGACCAGGUGGCUGCGACUGUUUAUUAAAAACACAGCACUCUGCAAAUUCGUAAGAAGACGUAUAGGGUGUGACGCCUGCCCGGUGCCGGAAGGUUAAUUGAUGGGGUUAUCUUCGGAGAAGCUCUUGAUCGAAGCCCCGGUAAACGGCGGCCGUAACUAUAACGGUCCUAAGGUAGCGAAAUUCCUUGUCGGGUAAGUUCCGACCUGCACGAAUGGCGUAACGAUGGCCACACUGUCUCCACCCGAGACUCAGUGAAAUUGAAAUCGCUGUGAAGAUGCAGUGUACCCGCGGCUAGACGGAAAGACCCCGUGAACCUUUACUAUAGUUUUGCACUGGACUUUGAUGAUGACUGUGUAGGAUAGGUGGGAGGCUGUGAAGUGAGGACGCUAGUUCUCAUGGAGCCGCCCUUGAAAUACCACCCUGUUGUUAUUGAGGUUCUAACUUGGUCCAGUAAUCCUGGAUGAGGACAGUGUAUGAUGGGUAGUUUGACUGGGGCGGUCUCCUCCCAAAGAGUAACGGAGGAGCACAAAGGUACCCUCGGUACGGUCGGACAUCGUACCAAGAGUGUAAAGGCAAAAGGGUGCUUGACUGCGAGAGUGACGGCUCGAGCAGGAACGAAAGUUGGUCUUAGUGAUCCGGUGGUUCUGAAUGGAAGGGCCAUCGCUCAACGGAUAAAAGGUACUCCGGGGAUAACAGGCUGAUACCGCCCAAGAGUUCAUAUCGACGGCGGUGUUUGGCACCUCGAUGUCGGCUCAUCACAUCCUGGGGCUGAAGCAGGUCCCAAGGGUAUGGCUGUUCGCCAUUUAAAGUGGUACGCGAGCUGGGUUUAGAACGUCGUGAGACAGUUCGGUCCCUAUCUGCCGUGGGCGUAGGAAAAUUGAGAGGAGCUGCUCCUAGUACGAGAGGACCGGAGUGGACGAACCUCUGGUGCACCGGUUGUCACGCCAGUGGCAUGGCCGGGUAGCUAAGUUCGGACGGGAUAACCGCUGAAAGCAUCUAAGCGGGAAGCCUCCCUCAAGAUGAGUUUUCCCAUGAAGCCCGUUGAAGACUACGACGUUGAUAGGCAAGGUGUGGAAGCGCAGUAAUGCGUGAAGCUAACUUGUACUAAUUGGCUGAUUGUCUUGACCAUAUAAUCUGAG
Molecule: ribosomal RNA, 2064 nt
Filed under: Legionella pneumophila subsp. pneumophila
Lineage: Bacteria; Pseudomonadati; Pseudomonadota; Gammaproteobacteria; Legionellales; Legionellaceae
Description: partial 23S ribosomal RNA
Rfam family: Bacterial large subunit ribosomal RNA
Source: RNAcentral